This is a long non-coding RNA of Symphalangus syndactylus (siamang), 407 nucleotides long. RefSeq lists it as uncharacterized. The record is from RefSeq and is a predicted model, not a curated record. Lineage: Eukaryota; Metazoa; Chordata; Mammalia; Primates; Hylobatidae.
UUUGAUUAGGUGGAAGCUGCAGUCUACAUAGACUUGAUUGAGCCAUCUUAAAGCUGCAGUCUCAAACACCUAACACUAGAUUCACUUCACAUAGUAUCUCCUGACUAUUAAGUUAAAAAGGAGAUGGCAGGUGAGAAGACUAUUGGACACACAUUUGGGGUUAGAGAGAUACAUGUCUUCAGCUGAAGAUCUAUAUGUGAAUUCUAUCACUUGCCUGUAUCCUCUCCCAUCAUUGCCACUGGGCACUCCAGCAGCUCAGAUCUUCCAUUCUCAUUAUUAUUUUACAAAGCCCAGAUGCUAAAAAUGUGAUAAGAUGACUUGGAGACAACUGCAGCCCCAGCCAUCGUCUGACUACAACUACGUGAGACACCCUGACAAAGAACCACCUAACUGGCUCCAGUCAUUCA